AUGGGUGGUGAAGGUGCCCUGCAGCUAUUGGGCAUGUUGCCUAAGAGUGCAGUAAUUAAUGUGCCAAAUGAUAUGGAAUCGGAUUGCUUGAAGGCUUUUUUUUUGGAAAUGAAGGUAAAACCCCCGGCCUCUGCAUCAUGAUGAUGCAUGCAUCAUGAGCGCGCUCGCUUCUGGGCCGCCUACGUCGACGACAAGCUGUUCCCGGCGUGGCUAGCCAUCCUGCGCGCGGCCACGGAGGAGGAGAGAGCGCAAAAGCUCGCCGCUACGCUCCCGGUGCUCGCGCCCAUGGAGGAGGCCUUCUCCGCCUGCUCGGCCUUCUCCUCCGGCAGCGACUCCAUCGGGUACUUCGACCUCGCGCUCGGGUGCCAGCUCUUCUGGCUCGACGCGCUGAGGGAGAUGUUCGGCGUGAUGGUCAUCGACGAGGGCAGGACCCCGCGCUUCGCCGCGUGGACCGAGAGGUUCCUGGAGACGGAGGCGGCCAAGAUGGUGAAGCCGCCCAUGAGCAGUAUGCUGGAGUACGCCGGGCAGCUGCGGGCUCGCUGGGCUGCUGAUGAUACCGCGGCCGCCAAGUAG
This 573-nucleotide ribosomal RNA is filed under the name Triticum aestivum (bread wheat). RNAcentral's name for it is "partial small subunit ribosomal RNA". The record is from RNAcentral. Lineage: Eukaryota; Viridiplantae; Streptophyta; Magnoliopsida; Poales; Poaceae.